AUUGAACGCUAGCGGGAUGCUUUACACAUGCAAGUCGAACGGAGUGGCGGACGGGUGAGUAAUAUAUCGGAACGUGCCCAGUAGCGGGGGAUAACUAAUCGGAAGAGUGGCUAAUACCGCAUACUGUUGGAGCGGACGAUAUCGGAUUAGCUAGUUGGUGGGGUAAAGUCUCACCAAGGCAACGAUCCGUAGCUGGUUUGAGAGGACGAACAGCCACACUGGGACUGAGACACGGCCCAGACGCCUACGGGAGGCAGCAGUGGGUAAUUUUGGACAAUGGGGGAGACCCUGAUCCAGCCAUCCCGCGUGUAUGAUGAAGGCCUUCGGGUUGUAAAGUACUUUUGGCAGAGAAGCGGUAUCUGCAGAAUAAGCACCGGCUAACUACGUGCCAGCAGCCGCGGUAAUUC
This 407-nucleotide ribosomal RNA is filed under the name uncultured bacterium. RNAcentral's name for it is "partial 16S ribosomal RNA". It matches the Rfam family "Bacterial small subunit ribosomal RNA", at positions 30 to 526 of the family's 1533-position model. The record is from RNAcentral.